UGUAAAAUUUCAAAGGUCGAACAGACCCAAAAUCUCAGCUUCUGCACCGAAAUUUAAUUUUAAUCCAACAUCGAGGUCGCAAACUUUUUUAUCGAUAAGAACUCUCCAAAAAAAAUUACGCUGUUAUCCCUAAGGUAAUUUAGUCUUGUAAUCCAAAAAAAAGGAUCAAAUAAUCAUAAAUCAAUGUUAAAAACAAAAAAAAGUUAAUUAAAUUUUUCCAUCGCCCCAACAAAAUACCUAAAUAAAAAUAAAAGAAUCAAUCCAACAACUCUUAUAUCCAAUUAAAUAUAAAACUCUAUAGGGUCUUCUCGUCUUUAUAAAAAAUUUAAGCUUUUUCACUUAAAAUUGAAGUUCUAAAACAUUUACACAGAGACAGUUAUUUUCUCAUCAAACCUUUCAUUCCAGCUUUCAAUUAAAAAACUAAUGAUUAUGCUACCUUUGCACAGUCAAAAUACUGCGGCCAUUCAAAAAUCAUUGGGCAGGCCAGACUUUAAAUCAAAAUCAAAAAGAC
This 511-nucleotide ribosomal RNA is filed under the name Pimelia maura. Its description in RNAcentral is "partial 16S ribosomal RNA". The record is from RNAcentral. Lineage: Eukaryota; Metazoa; Arthropoda; Insecta; Coleoptera; Tenebrionidae.